Molecule: ribosomal RNA, 253 nt
Filed under: uncultured bacterium
Lineage: Bacteria
Description: partial 16S ribosomal RNA
Rfam family: Bacterial small subunit ribosomal RNA
Source: RNAcentral
UACAGAGGUCCCAAGCGUUGUUCGGAUUCAUUGGGCGUAAAGGGUGCGUAGGCGGCGCGGUAAGUCGGGUGUGAAAUCUCGGGGCUUAACUCCGAAACUGCAUUCGAUACUGCCGUGCUUGAGGACUGGAGAGGAGACUGGAAUUUACGGUGUAGCGGUGAAAUGCGUAGAUAUCGUAAGGAAGACCAGUGGCGAAGGCGGCUCUCUGGGACGGUACUGACGCUGAGACGCGAAAGCGUGGGGAGCAAACAGG